GACGAACGCUGGCGGCGUGCUUAACACAUGCAAGUCGAACGGAAAGGCCCUGCUUUUGUGGUGUGCUCGAGUGGCGAACGGGUGAGUAACACGUGAGUAACCUGCCCUUGACUUUGGGAUAACUUCAGGAAACUGGGGUUAAUACCGGAUAGGAUCUCCUGCUGCAUGGUGGGGGUUGGAUAUUUUCGGCGGUUGGGGAUGGACUCGCGGCUUAUCAGCUUGUUGGUGGGGUAGUGGCUUACCAAGGCUUUGACGGGUAGCCGGCCUGAGAGGGUGACCGGCCACAUUGGGACUGAGAUACGGCCCAGACUCCUACGGGAGGCAGCAGUGGGGAAUAUUGCACAAUGGGCGGAAGCCUGAUGCAGCAACGCCGCGUGCGGGAUGACGGCCUUCGGGUUGUAAACCGCUUUCGCCUGUGACGAAGCGUGAGUGACGGUAAUGGGUAAAGAAGCACCGGCUAACUACGUG
Molecule: ribosomal RNA, 468 nt
Filed under: uncultured bacterium
Lineage: Bacteria
Description: partial 16S ribosomal RNA
Rfam family: Bacterial small subunit ribosomal RNA
Source: RNAcentral